Molecule: ribosomal RNA, 398 nt
Filed under: uncultured bacterium
Lineage: Bacteria
Description: bacterial SSU rRNA
Rfam family: Bacterial small subunit ribosomal RNA
Source: RNAcentral
GGAAUAUUGGACAAUGGGCGAAAGCCUGAUCCAGCCAUGCCGCGUGAGUGAUGAAGGCCUUAGGGUUGUAAAGCUCUUUCACCGGGGAAGAUAAUGACGGUACCCGGAGCAGAAGCCCCGGCUAACUUCGUGCCCUCAGCCGCGGUAAUACGAAGGGGGCUAGCGUUGUUCGGAGUUACUGGGCGUAAAGCGCACGUAGGCGGAUCGUUAAGUCGGGGGUGAAAUCCUGGAGCUCAACUCCAGAACUGCCUUCGAUACUGGCGAUCUUGAGUCCGGAAGAGGUGCGUGGAACUCCUAGUGUAGAGGUGGAAUUCGUAGAUAUUAGGAAGAACACCAGUGGCGAAGGCGGCUCACUGGUCCGGUACUGACGCUGAGGUGCGAAAGCGUGGGGAGCAAAC